Molecule: ribosomal RNA, 279 nt
Filed under: Dialister succinatiphilus YIT 11850
Lineage: Bacteria; Bacillati; Bacillota; Negativicutes; Veillonellales; Veillonellaceae
Description: partial 16S ribosomal RNA
Rfam family: Bacterial small subunit ribosomal RNA
Source: RNAcentral
UAUGGUAUGUGCCAGCCGCCGCGGUAAUACGUAGGUGGCAAGCGUUGUCCGGAAUUAUUGGGCGUAAAGCGCGCGCAGGCGGCUUUCUAAGUCCAUCUUAAAAGUGCGGGGCUUAACCCCGUGAUGGGAUGGAAACUGGGAAGCUGGAGUAUCGGAGAGGAAAGUGGAAUUCCUAGUGUAGCGGUGAAAUGCGUAGAGAUUAGGAAGAACACCGGUGGCGAAGGCGACUUUCUGGACGACAACUGACGCUGAGGCGCGAAAGCGUGGGGAGCAAACAGG